GAUGAACGCUGGCGGCGUGCCUAAUACAUGCAAGUCGAGCGAACAGACGAGGAGUUUGCUCCUCUGACGUUAGCGGCGGAGGGGUGCGUAACACGUGGAUAACCUACCUAUAAAACUGGGAUAACUUCGGGAAACCGUACCGAAUACCGGAUAAUAUAUUGAACCGGAUGUUUCAAUAGUGAAAGACGGUUUUGCUGUCACUUAUAGAUGGAUCCGCGCCGCUUUAGCAAGUUGGUAAGGUAAAGGCUUACCAAGGCAACGAUGCGUAGCCGACCGGGGAGGGUGACCGGCACACCUGGAACUAAGCCACGGUCCAGACUCCUCGGGGAGGCAGCAGUAGGGAAUCUUCCGCAAUGGGCGAAAGCCUGACGGAGCAACGCCGCGUGAGUGAUGAAGGUCUUCGGAUCUUAAAACUCUGUUAUUAGGGCAAAACAGCUGUGUAAGUAACUAUGCACGUCUUGACGGUACCUAAUCAGAAAGCCACGGCUAACUACGUG
RNAcentral lists this ribosomal RNA (497 nucleotides) under uncultured bacterium. RNAcentral describes it as "partial 16S ribosomal RNA". It matches the Rfam family "Bacterial small subunit ribosomal RNA", at positions 28 to 507 of the family's 1533-position model. The record is from RNAcentral.